This 910-nucleotide ribosomal RNA is filed under the name uncultured bacterium. RNAcentral's name for it is "bacterial SSU rRNA". It matches the Rfam family "Bacterial small subunit ribosomal RNA", at positions 33 to 925 of the family's 1533-position model. The record is from RNAcentral.
ACGCUGGCGGCGUGCCUAAUACAUGCAAGUUGAACGAGAGCGACCGGUGCUUGCACUGGUCAAUCUAGUGGCGAACGGGUGAGUAACACGUGGGUAACCUGCCCAUCAGAGGGGGAUAACAUUCGGAAACGGAUGCUAAAACCGCAUAGGUCCUUUAACCGCAUGGUUGAAGGAGGAAAAGAGGCGCAAGCUUCUGCUGAUGGAUGGACCCGCGGUGCAUUAGCUAGUUGGUGAGGUAACGGCUCACUAAGGCCGUGAUGCAUAGCCGACCUGAGAGGGUGAUCGGCCACAUUGGGACUGAGACACGGCCCAAACUCCUACGGGAGGCAGCAGUAGGGAAUCUUCCGCAAUGGACGCAAGUCUGACGGAGCAACGCCGCGUGAGUGAAGAAGGUUUUCGGAUCGUAAAACUCUGUUGUUAGAGAAGAACAAGUGCUAGAGUAACUGUUAGCGCCUUGACGGUAUCUAACCAGAAAGCCACGGCUAACUACGUGCCAGCAGCCGCGGUAAUACGUAGGUGGCAAGCGUUGUCCGGAUUUAUUGGGCGUAAAGCGAGCGCAGGCGGUUCCUUAAGUCUGAUGUGAAAGCCCCCGGCUCAACCGGGGAGGGUCAUUGGAAACUGGGGAACUUGAGUGCAGAAGAGGAGAGUGGAAUUCCAUGUGUAGCGGUGAAAUGCGUAGAUAUAUGGAGGAACACCAGUGGCGAAGGCGACUCUCUGGUCUGUAACUGACGCUGAGGCUCGAAAGCGUGGGUAGCAAACAGGAUUAGAUACCCUGGUAGUCCACGCCGUAAACGAUGAGUGCUAAGUGUUGGAGGGUUUCCGCCCUUCAGUGCUGCAGUUAACGCAUUAAGCACUCCGCCUGGGGAGUACGACCGCAAGGUUGAAACUCAAAGGAAUUACGGGACCCGCA